ACUCCUACGGGAGGCAGCAGUGGGGAAUAUUGCACAAUGGGCGCAAGCCUGAUGCAGCCAUGCCGCGUGUGUGAAGAAGGCCUUAGGGUUGUAAAGCACUUUCAGCGAGGAGGAAGGCAUCACACUUAAUACGUGUGGUGAUUGACGUUACUCGCAGAAGAAGCACCGGCUAACUCCGUGCCAGCAGCCGCGGUAAUACGGAGGGUGCAAGCGUUAAUCGGAAUUACUGGGCGUAAAGCGCACGCAGGCGGUUUGUUAAGUCAGAUGUGAAAUCCCCGCGCUUAACGUGGGAACUGCAUUUGAAACUGGCAAGCUAGAGUCUUGUAGAGGGGGGUAGAAUUCCAGGUGUAGCGGUGAAAUGCGUAGAGAUCUGGAGGAAUACCGGUGGCGAAGGCGGCCCCCUGGACAAAGACUGACGCUCAGGUGCGAAAGCGUGGGGAGCUAACAGGAUUAGAUACCCUGGUAGUC
Molecule: ribosomal RNA, 468 nt
Filed under: uncultured bacterium
Lineage: Bacteria
Description: bacterial SSU rRNA
Rfam family: Bacterial small subunit ribosomal RNA
Source: RNAcentral